GGAGAGGUGGCCGAGUGGUUGAAGGCGCUCGCCUCGAAAGCGAGUUUACCUGCAAGGGUAACCAGGGUUCGAAUCCCUGCCUCUCCGCCA
This 90-nucleotide transfer RNA is filed under the name Candidatus Sumerlaeaceae bacterium. RNAcentral's name for it is "tRNA-Ser". It matches the Rfam family "tRNA". From Rfam's summary of the family: Transfer RNA (tRNA) molecules are approximately 80 nucleotides in length. Their secondary structure includes four short double-helical elements and three loops (D, anti-codon, and T loops). Further hydrogen bonds mediate the characteristic L-shaped molecular structure. tRNAs have two regions of fundamental functional importance: the anti-codon, which is responsible for specific mRNA codon recognition, and the 3' end, to which the tRNAs corresponding amino acid is attached (by aminoacyl-tRNA synthetases). tRNAs cope with the degeneracy of the genetic code in two manners: having more than one tRNA (with a specific anti-codon) for a particular amino acid; and 'wobble' base-pairing, i.e. permitting non-standard base-pairing at the 3rd anti-codon position. The record is from RNAcentral. Lineage: Bacteria; Candidatus Sumerlaeota; Candidatus Sumerlaeia; Candidatus Sumerlaeales; Candidatus Sumerlaeaceae.